RNAcentral lists this long non-coding RNA (521 nucleotides) under Setaria viridis. RNAcentral's name for it is "long non-coding RNA (SVIR_LNC005999)". The record is from RNAcentral. Lineage: Eukaryota; Viridiplantae; Streptophyta; Magnoliopsida; Poales; Poaceae.
GGAUGAGAUCAGGAUAUGGGAGGAUACACCGCAGGGUAACGUAGCCUCCACGGACUCCUGAAGACUAGAUGAAAUAGACAAGGAAACUACUCUACCGAUUAGGAGUAGAACUCGUUAACCAUGUUCGACUAGGGAUCCACCCUGUAACCCUGCUCCCCGACUAUACAAGGGAGGGUAGAGACCCCCUCAAAACAACAACUAAGAAGUUCAAUACAAUCAACACACAGGACGUAGGGUGUUACGCAAUCUAGCGGCCCGAACCUAUCUAAAUCGUGUUCCUUGCAUCACCAUCGACACCUUGAUUCUCGACGACACCCACCACACAAAAGACCACCUAGGGUACCCCGUAGGCGGGUUGCCGGUCUAAAACACUAACAGUGUGGAAGGGUAGUGUCAGGAGCGACGUCGAGGGGCGGCAUUGGGGGUCGUGGACGGGGAGGCGGUGAGGUGGCAUCGAGGGUCGCGGACAGGGAGGCGAUGGAGGCGGCGUCAAGGGUCGCGGACGGGGAGGUGACGGAGGC